AUGUUUUCAGAUAUAAUCCGCAAGAUGGCAGCUAGUCAAUAUUAUCACAUACAGUGCACGCCUACCGUAUACCCGGCCGAACCAUUCGAUCCCGAAGAAGAUGCCAACCUCCUACGAACCGCCAUGAAGGGCUUUGGUACUGAUGAGCAAGCCAUCAUCGACGUUCUGGCUCAUCGAGGUGUCGUACAGAGAUUGGAAAUUGCAGACAAAUUUAAAACAAUGUACGGCAAGGACCUUGUUUCCGAGUUAAAAUCGGAGCUUUCCGGAAACUUUGAAAAAGUUAUCUGCGCCCUGAUGACGCCUCUUCCCGAGUUAUACGCCAAAGAACUGCACCACGCCGUUUCCGGUAUGGGUACCGACGAAGACGCGCUCAUCGAGGUUCUCGCGUCUCUGAGCAAUUACGGUAUCAAAACGAUAUCGGCCAUCUACAAGGAUUUAUACGAGAAGGAACUGGAAGAUGAUCUCAAGAGCGACACUUCCGGCCACUUUAAGAGGCUUUUGGUGUCAUUGUCUUGUGCCAGUAGAAACGAGAAUCCCGACGUUGACGAGGAGGCUGCACUUGAGGACGCCGAAAGGCUCAUGGCCGCUGGUGAGGGACAGUGGGGUACUGACGAAAGUACUUUCAAUGCGAUUCUAAUUACUAAGAGUUAUCCGCAAUUACGAAGAAUCUUCAAGGAGUACGAACGCAUCGCCGGACACAGCUUGGAGGACGCUAUAAAGCGAGAGUUUUCAGGCUCUCUUGAAGAUGGCUACCUAGCCGUCGUAAAAUGCACCCGUGAUAAGACAGCUUAUUUCGCGGAAAGAUUAUACAAAGCCAUGCGUGGAAUUGGCACGACAGAUUCGACGUUGAUACGCAUAAUUGUAACGCGUUCGGAGAUCGAUCUAGGCGAUAUUAAAGAAACUUACGAGAGACUCUACGGCAAAUCUCUCGCGGAAGCCAUUGAUGAUGACUGUUCAGGCGACUACAAGAGACUCUUGCUUGCUCUUCUCGGAUGAAACUAUUUCUCGAUUGCGCGACAGCUCCUUUCUACCAAAAAUUGCACUUCCAUGUCGCGAAUUAUAUAUCAUAUACAGUAUAACAAUGUCUCGUGACCUCAACUAAUUUAGUUUCUUAUGUUUUGCGCUAAGCGUCAAUGAAUGAUUGCAACGCUGAAAGGAAAAGACUGCUGAUAGCAAUGCUGAAUUAAAAAUAUCCAACAAAACAAUUAUAAUAUACAAUAUAGGAUAAUAAUGAAGGGUAAAAGUAACAACACAUAAUAAAAAUGAAGAAAAAAGGAAAUUUAGUAUAUCAUAACUAUUCUUUUUAUUUCUUCUUUUAUCUCUCAUUUCAUGCAUAAUAAAUUUACAAAAGACAUGCACACAAUGAAUAUUUACAAAUAAGGGAAGUUGUAAUUAUUGCAAUGACACAGUAGUGUGCCUUGUAUGAGCAUAUACAGACAUCAUCGAUAAUAAUCACUAUAUGCUGAUCAAAUUUUUAGACAAAACUUUACUCAUGUACUCACUGUGAUUGGCUUUGAAUAAACAUGUAGCGAUA
RNA transcript from Odontomachus brunneus, 1534 nucleotides. It is a transcript of the gene named annexin B9-like, with no coding region annotated. The record is from RefSeq and is a predicted model, not a curated record. NCBI's taxonomy places the organism in Eukaryota, Metazoa, Arthropoda, Insecta, Hymenoptera, Formicidae. The transcript has 7 exons.